Pipistrellus kuhlii (Kuhl's pipistrelle) is the source of this 951-nucleotide long non-coding RNA. RefSeq lists it as uncharacterized. The transcript has 3 exons. NCBI's taxonomy places the organism in Eukaryota, Metazoa, Chordata, Mammalia, Chiroptera, Vespertilionidae. The record is from RefSeq and is a predicted model, not a curated record.
UGCAACCUGGUGCGGCUUAGCAAGCCCCACCUGGCGGGCUCCGCUCCGCUCCGCAGGUGUCUUCAACCUCUUCCUCGGGCUGCCGCCCCACUCUCGCGAGAGAAAAGCGUUGUGAGGCUCACGCUCCGAUUUCCGCUUGCCGCGUCCCGGAAGGCUAUUCGCGCAGAGGGCGGGCGCCUUUGCUGUGCGGUUGACACUCGUUCUCCGUGUUGCAGGCCGUGCAAGACACGCUCGGAGGCUUGACGGGUUUGGGCACCUCCUUUGCGGCCGGCUUGUGCGCCCUUGGGGCCCCGUGGAGCAAAAGGCGUGGGGCUGUGGCUCGCACGCGGGUGUUAGGCCAGGUGCUUGUGGUCCCUUUGUUUCCUCCCUGGGGGAGGUGGAGGGGCCAAAUACACGACCUCGUGUAUCUUGAAAGGGAUUGGGGGCUGCAAGGUCACCCCAGGCCAGUCUGCUGGCAGCCCCACUCCCACCGGCACAGAGCAGAGCGAUUGGGGCCACCAGCAAGCGGUGCGAGUGGCAGCUACUGCCCCAGUUGCCCCGCAGGAGCGAGCAGGAGGAGGUGGAGAAACCCUCAGGAGCACCGGGGCCAGCGGCCGGCACUGGCAGCGGGGGCGAAUGACAGAGACCAGCACCCCAAGCUGGGCGGGUGCCCCUGAGUACCAAGCCAACAAGCCAAGAGACUGACUGGGCGUGCAGGCCCACGGCCCACGGGGAAGGAGAAGGAGAAGGCUUACGGAAUUUCAGGACAUCUGCUCCCCCCCCCCCCAACCUCAGGAACCAUGGUGACUCCGAUGCAUGAGCACGUGUGUUUGAUGCUGCUGCUAUGGAAACGGUAGCAUCGGGUCUGAUGGGUGAGAAGGCCACCCUUUCAGAGGCAAGGAUUGUGAAAACCAAUGAGCGCCUGGUGAUGAAUCAGAAUAGAGGGAGUGGGAAGACCUAACCGACCCACAC